RNAcentral lists this ribosomal RNA (467 nucleotides) under uncultured bacterium. Its description in RNAcentral is "partial 16S ribosomal RNA". It matches the Rfam family "Bacterial small subunit ribosomal RNA", at positions 28 to 507 of the family's 1533-position model. The record is from RNAcentral.
GACGAACGCUGGCGGCGUGCUUAACACAUGCAAGUCGAACGGAAAGGCCCUGCUUUUGUGGGGUGCUCGAGUGGCGAACGGGUGAGUAACACGUGAGUAACCUGCCCUUGACUUUGGGAUAACUUCAGGAAACUGGGGCUAAUACCGGAUAGGAGCUCCUGCUGCAUGGUGGGGUUGGAAAGUUUCGGCGGUUGGGGAUGGACUCGCGGCUUAUCAGCUUGUUGGUGGGGUAGUGGCUUACCAAGGCUUUGACGGGUAGCCGGCCUGAGAGGGUGACCGGCCACAUUGGGACUGAGAUACGGCCCAGACUCCUACGGGAGGCAGCAGCGGGGAAUAUUGCACAAUGGGCGGAAGCCUGAUGCAGCAACGCCGCGUGCGGGAUGACGGCCUUCGGGUUGUAAACCGCUUUCGCCUGUGACGAAGCGUGAGUGACGGUAAUGGGUAAAGAAGCACCGGCUAACUACGUG